UACGUAGGGCGCAAGCGUUGUCCGGAAUUAUUGGGCGUAAAGAGCUCGUAGGCGGCUUGUCACGUCGGAUGUGAAAGCCCGAGGCUUAACCUCGGGUCUGCAUUCGAUACGGGCUAGCUAGAGUGUGGUAGGGGAGAUCGGAAUUCCUGGUGUAGCGGUGAAAUGCGCAGGUAUCAGGAGGAACACCGGUGGCGAAGGCGGGUCUCUGGGCAGUAACUGACGCUGAGGAGCGAAAGCGUGGGGAGCGAACAGG
RNAcentral lists this ribosomal RNA (253 nucleotides) under uncultured bacterium. Its description in RNAcentral is "partial 16S ribosomal RNA". It matches the Rfam family "Bacterial small subunit ribosomal RNA", at positions 524 to 776 of the family's 1533-position model. The record is from RNAcentral.